AGGACGAACGCUGGCGGCGUGCUUAACACAUGCAAGUCAAGGGGGCCCAGCAAUGGGCAACCGGCGAACGGGUGCGUAACACGUGAGCAACCUGCCGAAAUGUGGGGGAUAGCCGGCCUAACGGCCGAGUAAUACCGCAUACGCUCUCGAUGAGGCAUUUCAUUGAGAGGAAACCUACGGGACAUUUCGAGGGGCUCGCGGCCUAUCAGCUAGUUGGCGAGGUAACGGCUCACCAAGGCAACGACGGGUA
This 250-nucleotide ribosomal RNA is filed under the name uncultured soil bacterium. Its description in RNAcentral is "partial 16S ribosomal RNA". It matches the Rfam family "Bacterial small subunit ribosomal RNA", at positions 26 to 285 of the family's 1533-position model. The record is from RNAcentral.